UACCAUGUGGUGAGCCAUUUGCACGAGCUGGGUCCUGAGCUUGGUUAAUUCUAAUAUACUGGUUGGUAGACAGUACUGUCUGCAUUUGAUUCAGGGCCUGAUGAAAUAAGAGCCCCACAAUAGGGCACAUUUGGAACCUCUGCAUAGAAACCAGGCCGAGCAAGGAUUUUACUCACCUCCUGGAUUGAUCUCCCCAGAUUUGUGGCUUAAAAACUACCUAGACAGUUACAGGCUAUGGGAAUGCUUUCCCCAUUGUGGGCCAACCCCAUCACUAGGCAAAGUCGACUGGAUGGCUGUUUCUGCAUUUUGAAGCUUGGAAAAAUUCUUGCCCAACCCAGGAAGGCCUUCAGUUGAAGCAAGAAUAGAAGCUAAUAGAGGCUUCUUCCCCCAACCAGGACUCACCAACCACUCAGGCACUCCAUUUAGUGGGUGGACAGAUUAAGAAACUGAGGCUGAGAAAGGCUAAGUAACUCACCGAAGAUGCAGAAAUGAUGAAUGGCAGAGCCAAGACUUGAACCCUCACUCUGCACUAUUAGGCUACGUGGCUUCAACAUGCCUAGGCUCUAAG
This 568-nucleotide long non-coding RNA is filed under the name Equus asinus (donkey). Its description in RNAcentral is "lncRNA (ENSEASG00005028740.1)". The record is from RNAcentral. Lineage: Eukaryota; Metazoa; Chordata; Mammalia; Perissodactyla; Equidae.